Molecule: ribosomal RNA, 253 nt
Filed under: uncultured prokaryote
Description: partial 16S ribosomal RNA
Rfam family: Bacterial small subunit ribosomal RNA
Source: RNAcentral
ACGUAGGGUGCGAGCGUUAAUCGGAAUUACUGGGCGUAAAGCGCACGUAGGCGGAUAUUUAAGUCAGGGGUGAAAUCCCGGGGCUCAACCCCGGAACUGCCUUUGAUACUGGGUAUCUCGAGUCCGAGAGAGGUGAGUGGAAUUCCGAGUGUAGAGGUGAAAUUCGUAGAUAUUCGGAGGAACACCAGUGGCGAAGGCGGCUCACUGGCUCGGUACUGACGCUGAGGUGCGAAAGCGUGGGGAGCAAACAGGA